AGCUUGCUCCUGGGAUUAGUGGCGAACGGGUGAGUAACACGUGAGUAACCUGCCCUUGACUCUGGGAUAAGCGUUGGAAACGACGUCUAAUACCGGAUAUGACCCCUACCGGCAUCGGUUGGGGGUGGAAAGAUUUUUUGGUCAAGGAUGGACUCGCGGCCUAUCAGGUAGUUGGUGAGGUAAUGGCUCACCAAGCCGACGACGGGUAGCCGGCCUGAGAGGGUGACCGGCCACACUGGGACUGAGACACGGCCCAGACUCCUACGGGAGGCAGCAGUGGGGAAUAUUGCACAAUGGGCGAAAGCCUGAUGCAGCAACGCCGCGUGAGGGAUGACGGCCUUCGGGUUGUAAACCUCUUUUAGUAGGGAAGAAGGGAGCUUGCUCUUGACGGUACCUGCAGAAAAAGCACCGGCUAACUACGUGCCAGCAGCCGCGGUAAUACGUAGGGUGCAAGCGUUGUCCGGAAUUAUUGGGCGUAAAGAGCUCGUAGGCGGUUUGUCGCGUCUGCUGUGAAAUCUGGGGGCUCAACCCCCAGCCUGCAGUGGGUACGGGCAGACUAGAGUGCGGUAGGGGAGAUU
This 578-nucleotide ribosomal RNA is filed under the name Frondihabitans sp. M73C5a. Its description in RNAcentral is "bacterial SSU rRNA". It matches the Rfam family "Bacterial small subunit ribosomal RNA", at positions 77 to 662 of the family's 1533-position model. Lineage: Bacteria; Bacillati; Actinomycetota; Actinomycetes; Micrococcales; Microbacteriaceae. The record is from RNAcentral.